UAGAUUUUAUCUUUUUAUUAUUUUUAUAAAAUUCGAAAAACAAAAAAUACUAAAAAUAAAAAUAAAAAAUACAAAUACAAACCACCCUAAAUGUUCUCAGAAUAAAAAUACUGUCUCCACAAUUUAUAGGUAGUGGUGGCUGAGCUUGGUGCACUGAAAAAAUAUGUUCAUUGAGGCUUGCUAUAGUCUACAGUCUAGACUUAUCCGUUGUAACUUAGUGUGCGGCCAUAAGUCCCAUUUCCAAAAAGUCAAAACCAAAAUAGACAUCCUGCUCCUCUACCUGUCUACCCUUGUAAGAUACGUUUGGAUAAAGCCAAUAAUCAAGUAUAGGAAGAAAAAAAAUUCUUUGAAUAAAGUUAUUUUUAUGAGAUAUUUUCAUAAGCCAAAUAGAAUAGCAGAAUUUGUAGUAGAAUAUGAAUAUCUACUAAAAUAAAAUAUCGGCAUCCAAAGCAUAAGUUUUACCAACAACAGAGAGGCAGAGAAUACAACUGCAGAGCAUAGACCCAAUCCCCAAUUUUCUUCCACAAUAAGAAACUCCUCUUCCCGUGUUAUAUUAUUCAUCCUUGCAUGUUCUUUUUCUGCAUAGCAAAAGCUUUAGUUUAGCGUUGGUUUACAGUAACAAGGAAAUCAUUAACAACCUGAGACCAAAAAAAAAAAGGUUAACGGCAGCAAUCAGUGGAGAGUGGAGACAUGGUCCAUGGCCUUCUCGCCGCGAUGCUGCUCCUCCUCCACCUCCUCCUUCCCCCGCCUCAUACCGCCGCGCAGGCCGUUAACUCGCUGCCGCCUCCGCCGCCAGAUGCCAUCUCCAAGGUGAAGUUCGACAAGUCCAUGGCCGUCGUCCUGGUCAUCCUCGUCAUCGUGUUCUUCGCCCUCGGCUUCCUCUCCGUGUACACGCGCCAGUGCGCGGAGCGUAGGAUGAGGGCGAGGUUCGACCUCACGUUCCCCCUCGCCGGAAGCCACCGCCGGCAGCGUGGUUUGGACCGGGAGAUCAUCGAGACGUUCCCGACGUUUGUUUACUCCGCCGUGAAGACACAGAAGAUAGGUCGUGCCACGCUAGAAUGCGCCGUGUGCCUCAACGAGUUCAACGACGACGAAACGCUGCGUUUAAUUCCAAAGUGCAGCCACGUGUUCCACCCUGAUUGCAUUGACGCAUGGCUCGCUAACCACUCUACCUGCCCGGUUUGCCGCGCCAACCUCUUCCCCUCCGACAACAACAAUAACGAUAACGGCACCUUCGUUGACGUUCAGAUCCCCGAUCCUGAGUCCAACGGUUCACAUAGAUCCGAAAUUGCACAGAUUAAUAACGGUAACGAUAACGGCGGAGGAGGAACGGCAACGGUAACGGAGUCUCCGAAGAUGGAUAGUUCAGUUAAUCAGAGGCGUACGCCGUUACGGUCAUGGUCAACGGGGUUUAGGAUUGGGAGUUUGUUUCCAAGGUCGCACUCGACGGGUCACUCGCUGGUCCAACCGGGGGAAAGCUUGGAGCGGUUUACGCUGAGGCUGCCGGAGGAGGUGCGAAACCGGCUGCUUAUGAGUUCGACGCCAUGUCAGACGACAAGCAACGGCGGCGCGGCGUUCUCGAGAGAGAGCAGCGUGAGGAGAGGGUUUAGAACCCGGAGUGUGGGUCCCGGGAGGGGCUACUUGCAGUAUGAACGGUUUGGCGGGGUGGAGCGGCGAGGGUUCAAUUGGACGCCACCGUUUUUUAGUAGGGCCAGUUCUACCCGGUCUCCGGGGAACGGUACGACGGCGGAGGAGAAGAAGGAGGUGGCGGUGGAAAUUGGUGAACGGUCUUCGGAUCGGUUAUUUGCAGGUGGUGAGAGUUAGGUAUUUGUUUAGGUUUCUAAUUUAGGUAAUUUGGUUGGUUGGUUGGAGUUGAAGGCGAUUGUCACAAUUAGCUUCAUUUUCACACUACAAUUUUACAUUUAUUUUUACUUUUACUUUUACCAAUGUGUCAAAGCAUACAAUAUCAGAUAUAUACACACAAAAUGCUACAUAGAGAUUCAUCCAAACAGCCAUGGUAAGGGGUUUCAGUGGUUGGAAUUCAUUCAUGACGCGUAUAUGUUAAGCUCACAUGUAUCUAUCAACUGAGCCUCGUAACCUUCUUCAUAGAAACAAAAUUACAUUAUAUUUUUUGGAAUACUUAUUUUUAUUGUAAUGUAUAAACUUUUUAAAA
RNAcentral lists this long non-coding RNA (2173 nucleotides) under Arachis ipaensis. RNAcentral's name for it is "long non-coding RNA (AIPA_LNC001826)". Lineage: Eukaryota; Viridiplantae; Streptophyta; Magnoliopsida; Fabales; Fabaceae. The record is from RNAcentral.